RNAcentral lists this long non-coding RNA (217 nucleotides) under Trifolium pratense (red clover). RNAcentral's name for it is "long non-coding RNA (TPRA_LNC012995)". Lineage: Eukaryota; Viridiplantae; Streptophyta; Magnoliopsida; Fabales; Fabaceae. The record is from RNAcentral.
AAAACUUGGGGCCGUAGAUGCCAAAAUAAUUGGAUUUGAGCAAAAUCAACACAGGGAAAAUGGAAAAGUAUUGCCCAACAAUUUUAUGGCCAUAAGCUAGAGACUAAUCAUGAGUUAAUUUUAAAUCAGUUAACUCAUAGUAAAAUUGAGUUAAUUUAUUUUGAUUUUAUCCGAUUUUGCUGAAAUUAACUAACUUUAGAAACUCAUUAAACUCCCG